AGAGUUUGAUCCUGGCUCAGGAUGAACGCUAGCUACAGGCUUAACACAUGCAAGUCGAGGGGAAACGACAUCGAAAGCUUGCUUUUGAUGGGCGUCGACCGGCGCACGGGUGAGUAACGCGUAUCCAACCUGCCCAUCACUUGGGGAUAACCUUGCGAAAGUAAGACUAAUACCCAAUGACGUCUCUAGAAGACAUCUGAAAGAGAUUAAAGAUUUAUCGGUGAUGGAUGGGGAUGCGUCUGAUUAGCUUGUUGGCGGGGUAACGGCCCACCAAGGCGACGAUCAGUAGGGGUUCUGAGAGGAAGGUCCCCCACAUUGGAACUGAGACACGGUCCAAACUCCUACGGGAGGCAGCAGUGAGGAAUAUUGGUCAAUGGGCGAGAGCCUGAACCAGCCAAGUAGCGUGCAGGAUGACGGCCCUAUGGGUUGUAAACUGCUUUUAUAAGGGAAUAAAGUGAGUCUCGUGAGACUUUUUGCAUGUACCUUAUGAAUAAGGACCGGCUAAUUCCGUGCCAGCAGCCGCGGUAAUACGGAAGGUCCGGGCGUUAUCCGGAUUUAUUGGGUUUAAAGGGAGCGUAGGCCGGAGAUUAAGCGUGUUGUGAAAUGUAGACGCUCAACGCCUGCACUGCAGCGCGAACUGGUUUCCUUGAGUACGCACAAAGUGGGCGGAAUUCGUGGUGUAGCGGUGAAAUGCUUAGAUAUCACGAAGAACUCCGAUUGCGAAGGCAGCUCACUGGAGCGCAACUGACGCUGAAGCUCGAAAGUGCGGGUAUCGAACAGGAUUAGAUACCCUGGUAGUCCGCACGGUAAACGAUGGAUGCCCGCUGUUGGUCUGAAUAGGUCAGCGGCCAAGCGAAAGCAUUAAGCAUCCCACCUGGGGAGUACGCCGGCAACGGUGAA
RNAcentral lists this ribosomal RNA (900 nucleotides) under uncultured bacterium. RNAcentral describes it as "bacterial SSU rRNA". It matches the Rfam family "Bacterial small subunit ribosomal RNA", at positions 8 to 898 of the family's 1533-position model. The record is from RNAcentral.